AGAGUUUGAUCAUGGCUCAGGAUGAACGCUAGCGACAGGCUUAACACAUGCAAGUCGAGGGGCAGCACGUCUUCGGAUGGUGGCGACCGGCGCACGGGUGAGUAACGCGUAUGCAACCUACCCAUCAGAGGGGGAUAGCCCGGCGAAAGUCGGAUUAAUACCGCAUGAUAAUCAUAAAUUGCAUGAUUUAUGAUUUAAAGAUUUAUUGCUGAUGGAUGGGCAUGCGUUUCAUUAGAUAGUUGGUGAGGUAACGGCUCACCAAGUCUACGAUGAAUAGGGGUUCUGAGAGGAAGGUCCCCCACACUGGUACUGAGACACGGACCAGACUCCUACGGGAGGCAGCAGUGAGGAAUAUUGGUCAAUGGGCGAGAGCCUGAACCAGCCAAGUCGCGUGAAGGAUGACGGCCUUAUGGGUUGUAAACUUCUUUUAUAUGGGAAUAAAAAGAGUCACGUGUGACUCAUUGCAUGUACCAUAUGAAUAAGCAUCGGCUAACUCCGUGCCAGCAGCCGCGGUAAUACGGAGGAUGCGAGCGUUAUCCGGAUUUAUUGGGUUUAAAGGGUGCGUAGGUGGUUGUUUAAGUCAGUGGUGAAAGUUUGUAGCUCAACCUAUAAAAUUGCCAUUGAAACUGGACGACUUGAGUAUGUUUGAGGUAGGCGGAAUGCGUUGUGUAGCGGUGAAAUGCAUAGAUAUAACGCAGAACUCCAAUUGCGAAGGCAGCUUACUAAACCCAUAACUGACACUGAAGCACGAAAGCGUAGGUAUCAAACAGGAUUAGAUACCCUGGUAGUCCACGCAGUAAACGAUGAUAACUAAGAGUUUGCGAUAUGACAGUAAGCUCUACAGCGAAAGCGUUAAGUUAUCCACCUGGGGAGUACGCCGGCAACGGUGAAACUCAAAGGAAUUGACGGGGGCCCGCACAAGCGGAGGAACAUGUGGUUUAAUUCGAUGAUACGCGAGGAACCUUACCCGGGUUUGAACGUGGUUUGACAGACUGAGAGAUCAGUUUUCUAGCAAUAGCAAAUCACGAGGUGCUGCAUGGUUGUCGUCAGCUCGUGCCGUGAGGUGUCGGCUUAAGUGCCAUAACGAGCGCAACCCCAAUUGUUAGUUGCCAUCAGGUAAUGCUGGGCACUCUGACAAGACUGCUUCCGUAAGGUUGAGGAAGGUUGGGAUGACGUCAAAUCAGCACGGCCCUUACAUCCCGGGGCGACACACGUGUUACAAUGGUAGGGACAAAGGGCAGCCACCUGGCGACAGGGCGCGAAUCCUAAAACCCUAUCUCAGUUCGGAUCGGAGUCUGCAACUCGACUCCGUGAAGCUGGAUUCGCUAGUAAUCGCGCAUCAGCCAUGGCGCGGUGAAUACGUUCCCGGGCCUUGUACACACCGCCCGUCAAGCCAUGGGAGCUGGGGGUACCUAAAGUCUGCGACCGCAAGGAGUGGCCUAGGGUAAAACUAGUGACUGGGGCUAAGUCGUAACAAGGUAACCGUA
Molecule: ribosomal RNA, 1487 nt
Filed under: uncultured bacterium
Lineage: Bacteria
Description: bacterial SSU rRNA
Rfam family: Bacterial small subunit ribosomal RNA
Source: RNAcentral